AGAGUUUGAUUCUGGCUCAGGAUGAACGCUGGCGGCGUGCCUAAUACAUGCAAGUCGAACGCAUAGCGAAAGGUGCUUGCACCUAUCAAGUGAGUGGCGAACGGGUGAGUAACACGUGGACAACCUGCCUCAAGGCUGGGGAUAACAUUUGGAAACAGAUGCUAAUACCGAAUAAAACUUAGUGUCGCAUGACACAAAGUUAAAAGGCGCUUCGGCGUCACCUAGAGAUGGAUCCGCGGUGCAUUAGUUAGUUGGUGGGGUAAAGGCCUACCAAGACAAUGAUGCACAGCCGAGUUGAGAGACUGAACGGCCACAUUGGGACUGAGACACGGCCCAAACUCCUACGGGAGGCUGCAGUAGGGAAUCUUCCACAAUGGGCGAAAGCCUGAUGGAGCAACGCCGCGUGUGUGAUGAAGGCUUUCGGGUCGUAAAGCACUGUUGUAUGGGAAGAACAGCUAGAAUAGGAAAUGAUUUUAGUUUGACGGUACCAUACCAGAAAGGGACGGCUAAAUACGUGCCAGCAGCCGCGGUAAUACGUAUGUCCCGGGCGUUAUCCGGAUUUAUUGGGCGUAAAGCGAGCGCAGACGGCUUAUUAAGUCUGAUGUGAAAGCCCGGAGCUCAACUCCGGAAUGGCAUUGGAAACUGGUUAACUUGAGUGCAGUAGAGGUAAGUGGAACUCCAUGUGUAGCGGUG
Molecule: ribosomal RNA, 693 nt
Filed under: uncultured Leuconostoc sp.
Lineage: Bacteria; Bacillati; Bacillota; Bacilli; Lactobacillales; Lactobacillaceae
Description: bacterial SSU rRNA
Rfam family: Bacterial small subunit ribosomal RNA
Source: RNAcentral